UAAGUCAGCCACGAAUAGGCUAUCCCAACUAACGGCGGGAAAGACUCCACGGAGGGUGUAAGACCCGUGUGGGCGCGUGUUAAAGCUGUGUGGGCUCGGCCUCUCUUCCCUGAGAGUCGCGUUGCUUGAGCAUGCAGCGCUAAUCAGGUCGUAAACUCGAUCUAAGGCUAAAUAUCUCCACAGAACCGAUAGCGAACAAGUACCGUGAGGGAAAGUUGAAAAGCACUCUGGAGAGAGAGUCAAAAGACCGUGAAACCGCUCAGAGUAUAAGCCCAUGGCAGCUUGGAAGGCAUAUCGCUAGCGGGGCAUCGGUCUCCCUUCACGGGGAGCUGGUGUUACCUUGCUUCUGUUGUGGCUCGUCAAGGUAGGGGGGUCAAGUCCACAUCCCGCCGUCGUGUGGGGAGUUCCUGGGCGUGUCGUUGCUUUGCGGUUGACUUCGGUUGGCCGUAGGGCUCUUCGCGCUUGGGGCUUCUUUGGUCACGGACGUUCAUACUCAGUUGCAAGACGCGAUAACCAGCCCACCACGGCACGUUGUGAGGUCACCCACAGGCUCAGCUUUUGAUUGUUGUCCUUGACGCCGAGCAAGCACAAUGCGUGUCGCAGAUGUUCCUAACCUGGCAAUGCUUGUCGGACAGUGGAACGACACGCGCUCAACAGUCAGGACCGGGCGAUGACAGAGUUCUGGUUUGAUCCUCUCGUGACGAGCCGGCUUCUGGCCGAUUUCCGAUGCUCAGGUCUCCCGCAUGUGCCGCGGGAGAUCGCCUUGACGGUCUGGA
RNAcentral lists this ribosomal RNA (776 nucleotides) under Gammarus cf. roeselii GcfROE2a. RNAcentral describes it as "eukaryotic LSU rRNA". It matches the Rfam family "Eukaryotic large subunit ribosomal RNA", at positions 156 to 624 of the family's 3401-position model. Lineage: Eukaryota; Metazoa; Arthropoda; Malacostraca; Amphipoda; Gammaridae. RNAcentral also lists the same sequence under 1 other name. The record is from RNAcentral.